AAAGAUCGCAGCCUUCGGCAGCUCCUGCGGGGGGGAAUGGUAUCUACCCUGUAGGAGCUGCCGAAGGCUGCGAUCUUU
RNAcentral lists this unclassified non-coding RNA (78 nucleotides) under Pseudomonas migulae. The record is from RNAcentral. Lineage: Bacteria; Pseudomonadati; Pseudomonadota; Gammaproteobacteria; Pseudomonadales; Pseudomonadaceae.